UACAGAGGUCCCAAGCGUUGUUCGGAUUCACUGGGCGUAAAGGGUGCGUAGGUGGUCGGGUAAGUCUGAUGUGAAAUCCCGGGGCUCACCCCCGGAAGUGCAUCCGAAACUGCGUAACUAGAGGCCGGGAUGGGUGACUGGAACACAUGGUGUAGCGGUGAAAUGCGUUAAUAUCAUGUGGAACACCGGAGGCGAAGGCGAGUCACUGGAACGGAUCUGACGCUAAGGCACGAAAGCCAGGGGAGCAAACGGG
Molecule: ribosomal RNA, 253 nt
Filed under: uncultured bacterium
Lineage: Bacteria
Description: partial 16S ribosomal RNA
Rfam family: Bacterial small subunit ribosomal RNA
Source: RNAcentral